Molecule: long non-coding RNA, 1864 nt
Filed under: Marmota monax (woodchuck)
Lineage: Eukaryota; Metazoa; Chordata; Mammalia; Rodentia; Sciuridae
Source: RNAcentral
CAAUGUCUGUGACUGCCUCAUGAAUGUGGAUUUGGUUACGCCUCAUAGAUUUGCUAGACUUUGUGGACAUGGCAAGUCUUGGCUAUUCAUGAACUCAAGGAUGGAAACCCAAAGGGGAAGCUUCAGGGGAAGUCUCAAGACAGUGAAAACCACAGGUAACAAUGUGGCUGGGCUGAGAGUGACACUAUCUCGACACAGCAUCAAAAAUGUGGAUGUGAUGAAAAAUUACUUUCAUAUCUCUGAAAAUCUGUUGCAAGUUUCACUUUUUUUCUAAAAGCAGAGCUUCUCUAAAUUCUUCUCUUGCAUAAAGAGUUGAGGAAGCAAUAAAGGAACUGCUAUCCUAAGCUUAAUUUUGGUUAAGAAGUCAUCAGAAUUGCAUAGAUGAGGAGAACUUAAGGAAAACUAACUUGAUCACCAAGAUUUCUAAGAGCCAAACAAGUGAAUUGUGUACUUCCAGCUCCUGAAGGGUAAAUAAAAGUCAAGAGAAAAGAGACCUCUGGUCCCAUGGUCAGAACGGAUUUGACAAAAUUGAUUCCAUGACUAGGAAUACUGUGAACAUCCCAUAUUCAUGGAAUUUGCAUUAUAGCUGGGUUAGAGAGGAACAAAAAUCAAAUAUACAAAAGAGUAAGUAUACCAUAUCAUGUCAGAUAGUGAUAAGUAUUAAAAAAUAGAGGAAGCUAUUUGGAGAAAUGGCUGAUUCUAGGACUAGGGCAGGAAAUAUACAAGAUAAGUUCAAAUCAUCUUGUAGUGCCAGAAAAUAAGAAAAUCCUAACAACAAUAACCAAAAAAAAUCUGCAUUAGUGGGAUUAUGUAAAAGGGACCCAGAAGCAAACUGAUAUGGCUCCUAAUGACGAAACCUGGAGCAAUUUAAACAUCAAAAUAAAGUAGUAUUGGAGUAGUACAGAGUAUAGAAUAGAUAACAAUCAUUCAAUAUAGAUAGACAUAAAAUAUUGAAUAAAUAAAUGGGCAAGAUUAGAGAAAUCUGCCAUAUCGAAGAAUUUCAAAUAAUUCAUGUAGAUAAUCCCUCUCAAAAAGAUGGAGCAUAAGUCCCUUGCCCUUUAAGUGUGGGCUAUGCAUAGUGACUGCUGUCUAAAAAGCACAGAAUAGAAAUGAUCUGGGAAGAGAAUAACUUGAAUAAUUUUACAGCAGAGAAACGUAAUAAAGGCUAUCUCGGUCAGACAUUGAGGUCAACAUCAACUGUGAUAGGUCAUGUUGAUGUCAUUGCACCCUGGGUCUAUGUGGUGAGAAGGGCACUUUUCCUCUGUGACCUUCCUCACUAAAGGACACAACUUCAGUCUAACCAUGAGAAGAUAUCUGGUAACUACCAAUAUAGAAACAUUCUAGAAAAUACCUGACUGUCAAGGUCAUCAAAAACAAGGAAAGUCUGAAAAACUGACUGCUAAGAGAUGUUUAAGGAAACCCGACAAUUACAUGGAAUGUGGUAACUUCUGGAAUCCCGGAGCAGAAAAAGGACAAAAGGUACAAACUACGGAAAUCUGAAAAGAGGUGGACUUUAGAAACAACGUAUGAAUAUUGGUUCAUUAAUUUUAACAAAUGUGUCAUCCCAAAAUAAGAUGUCACUAUUUGGAGGAACUGGGUAGGGUAUAUGGGAACUCCAUAUUAUAUUUGCAAUUUUGUGAAUCUAAAGCUAUUUUUUAAUUAAUUUUUAUCUAAAAUAUAAAUAUAAGACAGGUGUGGUAGGCUGGCCUUAGCAAUUUAGUGAGCCCCUAAAUGGCUUAGUGAAACCCUGUCUCAAAAAAAAAAAAAAAAGGAUUGGGGAUGUGGCUCAGUGGUAAAGUGCCCCUGGUUUCAAUCUCCAGUCCCAAAAAGAAAAAGAGAGAGGGGGGGGGGGCGGAGAAAGGAA